This 466-nucleotide ribosomal RNA is filed under the name uncultured bacterium. RNAcentral describes it as "partial 16S ribosomal RNA". It matches the Rfam family "Bacterial small subunit ribosomal RNA", at positions 28 to 507 of the family's 1533-position model. The record is from RNAcentral.
GAUGAACGCUGGCGGCGUGCUUAACACAUGCAAGUCGAACGAUGAAGCCCAGCUUGCUGGGUGGAUUAGUGGCGAACGGGUGAGUAACACGUGAGUAACCUGCCCUUAACUCUGGGAUAAGCCUGGGAAACUGGGUCUAAUACCGGAUAGGAGCGUCCACCGCAUGGUGGGUGUUGGAAAGAUUUAUCGGUUUUGGAUGGACUCGCGGCCUAUCAGCUUGUUGGUGAGUUAAUGGCUCACCAAGGCGACGACGGGUAGCCGGCCUGAGAGGGUGACCGGCCACACGGGGACUGAGACACGGACCAGACUCCUACGGGAGGCAGCAGUGGGGAAUAUUGCACAAUGGGCGCAAGCCUGAUGCAGCGACGCCGCGUGAGGGAUGACGGCCUUCGGGUUGUAAACCUAUUUCAGUAGGGAAGAAGCGAAAGUGACGGUACCUGAAGAAGAAGCACCGGCUAACUACGUG